This 69-nucleotide transfer RNA is filed under the name Triticum urartu. It matches the Rfam family "tRNA". From Rfam's summary of the family: Transfer RNA (tRNA) molecules are approximately 80 nucleotides in length. Their secondary structure includes four short double-helical elements and three loops (D, anti-codon, and T loops). Lineage: Eukaryota; Viridiplantae; Streptophyta; Magnoliopsida; Poales; Poaceae. The record is from Rfam by way of RNAcentral.
UCCAUUGCUCAGUUGGUAGAGCACAAGACUCUUAACCUUGUGGUCAUGGGUUCUAGACCUAUGAUGGAG